Molecule: unclassified non-coding RNA, 253 nt
Filed under: uncultured bacterium
Lineage: Bacteria
Description: contains 16S-23S intergenic spacer region
Rfam family: Bacterial small subunit ribosomal RNA
Source: RNAcentral
UACGAGGGGGGCAAGCGUUAUUCGGAAUCACUGGGCGUAAAGAGUGUGUAGGCGGUUUCUUAAGUCAAAUGUUAAAUCUCAUAGCCUAACUAUGAGGCCGCGUUUGAUACUGGGUGACUAGAGUUUGGAAGAGAGGGGUGGAAUUCUCGGAGUAGCGGUAAAAUGCGUAGAUCUCGAGAGGAACACCGAUGGCGAAAGCAGCUCCUUGGUCCAAAACUGACGCUCGAACACGAAGGCGUGGGGAGCAAACAGG